UUACAGAGGAAAAAGACAAAGAGAUGAGGAGGAAGAGGAGGAUGAAAGAGAGAGAGAAAGAGAGAGAGAAGAAGUAGUGGAUGAAGAUAACCAGGAUCCUGUUUCGUUGGAAUAAUAAUUAUCCGUUGGGUUUUUAUCUUUGUAAGAAGGCAAACGCAAUUUUCGCUCUCAUCGAUGUACGUAGGUACCCUUCAAGCUUGAAAGAGAACCACAUUCGGACACGUACGAGCUCACGUAGGCGUAAACCAUCGAAUAAUCUUUUUCAACAAGAUAAAUAAUAGUCAGUGCCAAUCAGAUUUGAUUGGGGCGCGCGGUAAAAUGUGGGUAGCUCAUUCCGUGGGCCGUGGCCAA
RNAcentral lists this long non-coding RNA (351 nucleotides) under Polistes fuscatus (common paper wasp). Its description in RNAcentral is "uncharacterized LOC122526565". The record is from RNAcentral. Lineage: Eukaryota; Metazoa; Arthropoda; Insecta; Hymenoptera; Vespidae.